CACUCUAAGUUGACUGCCGGUGACAAACCGGAGGAAGGUGGGGAUGACGUCAAAUCAUCAUGCCCCUUAUGAUUUGGGCUACACACGUGCUACAAUGGACAAUACAAAGGGCAGCGAAACCGUGAGGUCAAGCAAAUCCCAUAAAGUUGUUCUCAGUUCGGAUUGUAGUCUGCAACUCGACUACAUGAAGCUGGAAUCGCUAGUAAUCGUAGAUCAGCAUGCUACGGUGAAUACGUUCCCGGGUCUUGUACACACCGCCCGUCACACCACGAGAGUUUGUAACACCCGAAGCCGGUGGAGUAACCUUUUAGGAGCUAGCCGUCGAAGGUGGGACAAAUGAUUGGGGUGAAGUCGUAACAAGGUAGCCGUAUCGGAAGGUGCGGCUGGAUCACCUCCUUUCUA
This 402-nucleotide ribosomal RNA is filed under the name Staphylococcus aureus. RNAcentral describes it as "bacterial SSU rRNA". It matches the Rfam family "Bacterial small subunit ribosomal RNA", at positions 1136 to 1533 of the family's 1533-position model. Lineage: Bacteria; Bacillati; Bacillota; Bacilli; Caryophanales; Staphylococcaceae. The record is from RNAcentral.